This 70-nucleotide long non-coding RNA is filed under the name Macaca nemestrina (pig-tailed macaque). RNAcentral describes it as "JPX transcript, XIST activator conserved region 2 (ENSMNEG00000008754.1)". It matches the Rfam family "JPX transcript, XIST activator conserved region 2". Lineage: Eukaryota; Metazoa; Chordata; Mammalia; Primates; Cercopithecidae. The record is from RNAcentral.
UAUCGGAGAAUAAUGUUCUCUCUCCCUGAUCACCUAACUUCUACUGACGAGGCUAGGAAGUUGCAGAAGC